RNAcentral lists this long non-coding RNA (409 nucleotides) under Brassica napus (rape). RNAcentral describes it as "long non-coding RNA (BNAP_LNC010854)". Lineage: Eukaryota; Viridiplantae; Streptophyta; Magnoliopsida; Brassicales; Brassicaceae. The record is from RNAcentral.
AAAUUAAGGUUAAUGCCUUGCAUUCUCUUUGAUUAAAUUCGUUUAUGAUUAGAUUGACACCUCUUGUACUACAUUGACUUUGAGGAGUAAACUUUAUCCAUAUCAAGAUAGCAUUUCAUUUUACCUAAACUUUCACCGAUUGAAGUAUUAUAAUAAGAAUCAAAUUAUAUUUUCUAAAUGGAAAUAAAAUAAAUCAUAGGUCAAUAGUGUUUAUGAUUCCGGAGCACGUGCGCCUAACGUAUAUCAUGUGAUCAAUUCUAUAGGGUUAAAAUAUAAUCGCACAUCAAAAGAGUGGAAGGUGGACAAUAGACAAAUCGCAGAAAAGAUAUCCAAUCCAACCCUCCUACAUAAAAAGUUGAAGCAAAAAGGCAUCACUCUAAUUACCAGACAUGACUGCAUUAGUUCCCAC